This 253-nucleotide ribosomal RNA is filed under the name uncultured bacterium. RNAcentral's name for it is "partial 16S ribosomal RNA". It matches the Rfam family "Bacterial small subunit ribosomal RNA", at positions 524 to 776 of the family's 1533-position model. The record is from RNAcentral.
UACAGAGGUCCCAAGCGUUGUUCGGAUUUACUGGGCGUAAAGGGUGCGUAGGCGGUCGGGUAAGUCUGGUGUGAAAUCUUCGAGCUUAACUCGGAAACUGCAUUGGAUACUAUUCGGCUAGAGAGUUGGAGGGGGGAUUGGAAUACUUGGUGUAGCAGUGAAAUGCGUAGAUAUCAAGUGGAACACCAGUGGCGAAGGCGAAUCCCUGGACAACUCCUGACACUGAGGCACGAAAGCUAGGGGAGCAAACAGG